This is a long non-coding RNA of Sapajus apella (tufted capuchin), 1427 nucleotides long. RefSeq lists it as uncharacterized. The transcript is spliced from 2 exons. NCBI's taxonomy places the organism in Eukaryota, Metazoa, Chordata, Mammalia, Primates, Cebidae. The record is from RefSeq and is a predicted model, not a curated record.
GUCACCGAGUGCGCAGGCGCGGCGGGCCUCGCCCUGCCCCGCGGCGGGAACGCGGCCGAGGGGGUGCGGGGCGCAGGCCGGCCAGGCCCGCAACGGCAGCCGAGGGUCGUGGGACGCGCCCUCCGCUUCCCUGCGCAGGCGGAGAUCGUCCGGGCCGCCGCCAGGGAGUGUGACAACUUUUCACGUUGGGUGCACAAGGCGGCCGGGGAGAAAGCGCCUUCGACAGCGCGCGCCGGGCCGGGCGGGGACGCCGUCCGCCUGGAUUGUAGGCCGUUCCCCCGGAGCUGAGCCGGGACCCGUCCUCACGGCAUCCUGGGCGGGGGGGGUAUUGCAGUUAUGUGGAUGAGAAUACAGUUGGCAACAUAAAAAUGCCAAUUUUACGUUAGAUGUCUCAAUAACUAAUAGUUGGAAAACUUUGGUCUUUGUAAGAAACGCUUUCUCUGAGAUGGCUGAGCGUUGGAGGAAAGGAAUGGUGAAUUACAGAAUUUUAAAACAAGAUGUAGCUGAAGAGAAGCAGAGCGAUUACGGGCUUUUGGAGACUUAGCUGCUGAUGGAAACGGUGCGCCAUCAAGUUUUCCUGUAGAAUGAAACAGGGUCUGCAGCUAGCUAACAUCUAGAUGGUAAGAUUGACAGGAUUAUCCAAAACAGGCAAUCACGAGAAAAUGUUAAAACCUGCCUAUAAACCUAUUAAAGUUAAUUUUACAUGUACAGAGGGGCCUGAGCAAAAAGUCAGGUGAAAGUUCUGAGAUCUAAUCCUUGGCAGAGGCAAUUUUAAAAGGGAGAUUUCCAUGAGAAGGAGUGAGUAGCCGCAUCGCUGCAUGCCGUUUAGACCUCACGUGGAGUCCCGCCAGGCACUCCAGGAGAGUGGGUACCACACAGACGUGGGGUGGAUGGUGCAGGAACCUCACUUGCCAUGUCUGGAAAGGAGAAACUUGGCCUGGGUGGCUGUGUGUACCAUUAUGUGUCGGAGGGGCUGGCUGAAGGAGACCACUGCACAGGCGGUGUAGAGGAAUUCAAUACGAUAGAGUUCUGUGCAGUAAAAGCGAACACCCUAUGCUGUGAGCUGGGUGUAAGGAGAAAGGUGGAGUGACAACCCAAAUGCGUGGGAGCAGCCCCCUGGGACUUCACAUAUAGGCGUUUGACAGAGUUCCAAACUCAAAGUGAAGGAAUCUCAAUGUUCUCACAGUUGAAAGAAAGAAACCAGCCCCAAAGGCUCAAAUUUUAAAGUCUAGGAUUGGGAGAUCCAAUAGAUGGGUAGAACUCCUAGAUUGGCCGUGAUUGGCAAGCUGGCCGAUUAUAAAAUCUACAAAAAACAGUAACUUUCAGAUUACUAACAGCAUUCAAUCAGUAAUUAAAUAAUUGUAGCAUUAUCAGUAUGUGGUGAGCAUUGUGCUAAGCACUUCAUAUGUGUUAGAAAAUACAAAAAA